AGCAGCCGCGGUAAUUCCAGCUCCAAUAGCGUAUAUUAAAGUUGUUGCAGUUAAAAAGCUCGUAGUUGAAUUUCGGAAUCAAUUUAUUGGUCGUGCAAUAGUACGUACUGGUUUUAUUGGUUUCUCCCUUCUGAUGAACCAUGAUGUCAUUAAUUUGGUGUUAUGGGGAAUCAGGACUGUUACUUUGAAAAAUUAGAGUGUUUAAAGCAGGCUCACGCUUGAAUACAUUAGCAUGGAAUAGUGAAAUAGGACAUUUGAUUCUAUUUUGUUGGUUUCUAGGAUCGACGUAAUGAUUAAUAGGGAUAGUUGGGGGCAUUAGUAUUCAAUUGUCAGAGGUGAAAUUCUUGGAUUUAUUGAAGACUAACUACUGCGAAAGCAUUUGCCAAGGAUGUUUUCAUUAAUCAAGAACGAAAGUUAGGGGAUCGAAGACGAUCAGAUACCGUCGUAGUCUUAACCAUAAACUAUGCCGACUAGGGAUCGGAUGAUGUUAAUUUUUAUGA
Molecule: ribosomal RNA, 500 nt
Filed under: uncultured Glomus
Lineage: Eukaryota; Fungi; Glomeromycota; Glomeromycetes; Glomerales; Glomeraceae
Description: SSU rRNA
Rfam family: Eukaryotic small subunit ribosomal RNA
Source: RNAcentral